GUACAGUAGAGGUGGGCGGAAUUCGUGGUGUAGCGGUGAAAUGCUUAGAUAUCACGAAGAACUCCGAUUGCGAAGGCAGCUCACUGGACUGCAACUGACACUGAUGCUCGAAAGUGUGGGUAUCAAACAGGAUUAGAUACCCUGGUAGUCCACACAGUAAACGAUGAAUACUCGCUGUUUGCGAUAUACAGUAAGCGGCCAAGCGAAAGCAUUAAGUAUUCCACCUGGGGAGUACGCCGGCAACGGUGAAACUCAAAGGAAUUGACGGGGGCCCGCACAAGCGGAGGAACAUGUGGUUUAAUUCGAUGAUACGCGAGGAACCUUACCCGGGCUUAAAUUGCAUUUGAAUAUAUUGGAAACAGUAUAGUCGUAAGACAAAUGUGAAGGUGCUGCAUGGUUGUCGUCAGCUCGUGCCGUGAGGUGUCGGCUUAAGUGCCAUAACGAGCGCAACCCUUAUCUUUAGUUACUAACAGGUCAUGCUGAGGACUCUGGAGAGACUGCCGUCGUAAGAUGUGAGGAAGGUGGGGAUGACGUCAAAUCAGCACGGCCCUUACGUCCGGGGCUACACACGUGUUACAAUGGGGGGUACAGAAGGCGGCUACCUGGUGACAGGAUGCUAAUCCCAAAAGCCUCUCUCAGUUCGGAUCGAAGUCUGCAACCCGACUUCGUGAAGCUGGAUUCGCUAGUAAUCGCGCAUCAGCCAUGGCGCGGUGAAUACGUUCCCGGGCCUUGUACACAC
Molecule: ribosomal RNA, 739 nt
Filed under: human gut metagenome
Description: bacterial SSU rRNA
Rfam family: Bacterial small subunit ribosomal RNA
Source: RNAcentral